RNAcentral lists this ribosomal RNA (387 nucleotides) under uncultured bacterium. Its description in RNAcentral is "bacterial SSU rRNA". It matches the Rfam family "Bacterial small subunit ribosomal RNA", at positions 30 to 419 of the family's 1533-position model. The record is from RNAcentral.
AUUGAACGCUGGCGGAAUGCUUUACACAUGCAAGUCGAACGGCAGCACGGGGCAACCUGGUGGCGAGUGGCGAACGGGUGAGUAAUAUAUCGGAACGUGCCCAAUCGUGGGGGAUAACGUAGCGAAAGUUACGCUAAUACCGCAUACGAUCUACGGAUGAAAGCGGGGGAUCGCAAGACCUCGCGCGAAUGGAGCGGCCGAUAUCAGAUUAGGUAGUUGGUGGGGUAAAGGCUCACCAAGCCAACGAUCUGUAGCUGGUCUGAGAGGACGACCAGCCACACUGGAACUGAGACACGGUCCAGACUCCUACGGGAGGCAGCAGUGGGGAAUUUUGGACAAUGGGCGCAAGCCUGAUCCAGCCAUUCCGCGUGCAGGAUGAAGGCCUUC